UGUCGGCAGGCCUAACACAUGCAAGUCGAACGGUAACAGGAAGCAGCUUGCUGCUUUGCUGACGAGUGGCGGACGGGUGAGUAAUGUCUGGGAAACUGCCCGAUGGAGGGGGAUAACUACUGGAAACGGUAGCUAAUACCGCAUAACGUCGCAAGACCAAAGAGGGGGACCUUAGGGCCUCUUGCCAUCGGAUGUGCCCAGAUGGGAUUAGCUAGUAGGUGGGGUAAUGGCUCACCUAGGCGACGAUCCCUAGCUGGUCUGAGAGGAUGACCAGCCACACUGGAACUGAGACACGGUCCAGACUCCUACGGGAGGCAGCAGUGGGGAAUAUUGCACAAUGGGCGCAAGCCUGAUGCAGCCAUGCCGCGUGUAUGAAGAAGGCCUUCGGGUUGUAAAGUACUUUCAGCGGGGAGGAAGGGAGUAAAGUUAAUACCUUUGCUCAUUGACGUUACCCGCAGAAGAAGCACCGGCUAACUCCGUGCCAGCAGCCGCGGUAAUACGGAGGGUGCAAGCGUUAAUCGGAAUUACUGGGCGUAAAGCGCACGCAGGCGGUUUGUUAAGUCAGAUGUGAAAUCCCCGGGCUCAACCUGGGAACUGCAUCUGAUACUGGCAAGCUUGAGUCUCGUAGAGGGGGGUAGAAUUCCAGGUGUAGCGGUGAAAUGCGUAGAGAUCUGGAGGAAUACCGGUGGCGAAGGCGGCCCCCUGGACGAAGACUGACGCUCAGGUGCGAAAGCCGUGGGGAGCAAACAGGAUUAGAUACCCCUGGUAGUCCACGCCGUAAACGAUGUCGACUUGGAGGUUGUGCCCUUGAGGCGUGGCUUCCGGAGCUAACGCGUUAAGUCGACCGCCUGGGGAGUACGGCCGCAAGGUUAAAACUCAAAUGAAUUGACGGGGGCCCGCACAAGCGGUGGAGCAUGUGGUUUAAUUCGAUGCAACGCGAAGAACCUUACCUGGUCUUGACAUCCACGGAAGUUUUCAGAGAUGAGAAUGUGCCUUCGGGAACCGUGAGACAGGUGCUGCAUGGCUGUCGUCAGCUCGUGUUGUGAAAUGUUGGGUUAAGUCCCGCAACGAGCGCAACCCUUAUCCUUUGUUGCCAGCGGUCCGGCCGGGAACUCAAAGGAGACUGCCAGUGAUAAACUGGAGGAAGGUGGGGAUGACGUCAAGUCAUCAUGGCCCUUACGACCAGGGCUACACACGUGCUACAAUGGCGCAUACAAAGAGAAGCGACCUCGCGAGAGCAAGCGGACCUCAUAAAGUGCGUCGUAGUCCGGAUUGGAGUCUGCAACUCGACUCCAUGAAGUCGGAAUCGCUAGUAAUCGUGGAUCAGAAUGCCACGGUGAAUACGUUCCCGGGCCUUGUACACACCGCCCGUCACACCAUGGGAGUGGGUUGCAAAAGAAGUAGGUAGCUUAACCUUCGGGAGGGCGCUUACCACUUUGUGAUUCAUGACUGGGG
Molecule: ribosomal RNA, 1455 nt
Filed under: uncultured organism
Description: SSU rRNA
Rfam family: Bacterial small subunit ribosomal RNA
Source: RNAcentral